GAGCUUGCUCCCUGUAUGUCGGCGGCGGAGGGGUGAGUAACACGUGGGUAACCUGCCUGUAAAACUGGGAUAACUCCGGGAAACCGGGGCUAAAACCGGAUGCUUGAUUGAACCGCAGGGUUCAUUUAUAAGAGGGGGCUUUGACUAUCAAUUAAAAGAUGACCCCGGGCCCAAUAACUUGUUGGGGAGGUAACCGCCCCCCCAGGGCACCAUUCGUAACCCACCUUAAAGGGGGAACGGCCACCCUGGGACUGAAACCCGGCCCAAAACCCCACCGGGGGGAGCAAUAGGGAAUUUUCCCCAAUGGAACAAAGUCUUAACGAACCCCCGCCCGGGGGUUAAUAAGGUUUUCGGAACGUAAAAUUUUUUUUUUAGGGAAAAAAGUUCCGGUCCAAUAGGGGGGUCCUUGGCCGUUCUAAACCAAAAGCCCGGCCAAAUUCCUGGCAACCCCCCCGGAAUUCAAAGUGGAGCCGUUCCGGAAUUUGGGCGAUAGGGGGGCCAGGGCUUUCCUUAUUCAGAAUGGAGCCCCCGUUCCACCGGGAUGACAAUGAAACUGGAGAACUUGAUGCAAAGAGAAGUAGAUUUCCCCGUGUAGCGUUAAUGCUAGAGUAUGGAGAUACCGUGACAACGCGACCUAUGCUCUGUCACGAUUCUGAGCGCGAGGCGUGAAGAACAAAAUAUAAGAUCCUGCUAAUUCAGCAUUACAGUAAGCUUAAGGUCAAGAAUGCGCAAUAGGGGUCAGAGCCAGCCCUCUAGUGAUGCAGCAAACGCUAAAGCACUCCGCCUGGGGAGUACGGUCGCAAGAUGAAACUCAAAGGAAGGAGGGGGGCCCGCCCAAGCGGGGGAGCAUGUGGUUUAUUUGGAAGCAACGCGAAGAACCUAACCAGGUCGGACAUCCUCUGACAACCCAAGAGAUAGGGAUUCCCCUUCGGGGGCAGAGUGACAGGUGGUGCAUGGUGGUGGUCAGCUCGGGUCGUGAGAUGUGGGGUUAAGUCCCGCAACGAGCGCAACCCUUGAUUUUAGUGGCCAGCAUUCAGUCGGGCACUCUAAGGUGACUGCCGGUGACAAACCGGAGGAAGGUGGGGAUGACGUCAAAUCAUCAUGCCCCUUAUGACCUGGGCUACACACGUGCUACAAUGGGCAGAACAAAGGGCAGCGAAGCCGCGAGGGUAAGCCAAUCCCACAAAUCUGUUCUCAGUUCGGAUCGCAGUCUGCAACUCGACUGCGUGAAGCGGAAUCGCUGUAAUCGCGGAUCAGCAUGCCGCGGUGAAUACGUUCCCGGGCCUGUACACACCGCCCGUCUACACCACGAGAGUGAGUGUACACCACGAAGUACGGUG
Molecule: ribosomal RNA, 1340 nt
Filed under: Bacillus licheniformis
Lineage: Bacteria; Bacillati; Bacillota; Bacilli; Caryophanales; Bacillaceae
Description: partial 16S ribosomal RNA
Rfam family: Bacterial small subunit ribosomal RNA
Source: RNAcentral